UAGGGAAUAUUGCACAAUGGGCGCAAGCCUGAUGCAGCCAUGCCGCGUGUAUGAAGAAGGCCUUCGGGUUGUAAAGUACUUUCAGCGGGGAGGAAGGGAGUAAAGUUAAUACCUUUGCUCAUUGACGUUACCCGCAGAAGAAGCACCGGCUAACUCCGUGCCAGCAGCCGCGGUAAUACGGAGGGUGCAAGCGUUAAUCGGAAUUACUGGGCGUAAAGCGCACGCAGGCGGUUUGUUAAGUCAGAUGUGAAAUCCCCGGGCUCAACCUGGGAACUGCAUCUGAUACUGGCAAGCUUGAGUCUCGUAGAGGGGGGUAGAAUUCCAGGUGUAGCGGUGAAAUGCGUAGAGAUCUGGAGGAAUACCGGUGGCGAAGGCGGCCCCCUGGACGAAGACUGACGCUCAGGUGCGAAAGCGUGGGGAGCAAACAGG
This 429-nucleotide ribosomal RNA is filed under the name Chloroflexota bacterium. RNAcentral's name for it is "Chloroflexi bacterium partial 16S ribosomal RNA". It matches the Rfam family "Bacterial small subunit ribosomal RNA", at positions 355 to 776 of the family's 1533-position model. Lineage: Bacteria; Bacillati; Chloroflexota. The record is from RNAcentral.